Molecule: ribosomal RNA, 460 nt
Filed under: uncultured bacterium
Lineage: Bacteria
Description: partial 16S ribosomal RNA
Rfam family: Bacterial small subunit ribosomal RNA
Source: RNAcentral
CCUACGGGAGGCAGCAGUGAGGAAUAUUGGUCAAUGGGCGCGAGCCUGAACCAGCCAAGUAGCGUGAAGGAUGACUGCCCUACGGGUUGUAAACUUCUUUUAUAAAGGAAUAAAGUGAGGCACGCGUGCCUUUUUGUAUGUACUUUAUGAAUAAGGAUCGGCUAACUCCGUGCCAGCAGCCGCGGUAAUACGGAGGAUCCGAGCGUUAUCCGGAUUUAUUGGGUUUAAAGGGAGCGUAGAUGGGUUGUUAAGUCAGUUGUGAAAGUUUGCGGCUCAACCGUAAAAUUGCAAUUGAUACUGGCAGCCUUGAGUGCAGUUGAGGUAGGCGGAAUGCGUGGUGUAGCGGUGAAAUGCAUAGAUAUCACGAAGAACUCCGAUUGCGAAGGCAGCUUACUAAACUGCCACUGACAUUGAUGCUCGAAAGUGUGGGUAUCGAACAGGAUUAGAUACCCUUGUAGUC